Molecule: ribosomal RNA, 459 nt
Filed under: uncultured bacterium
Lineage: Bacteria
Description: partial 16S ribosomal RNA
Rfam family: Bacterial small subunit ribosomal RNA
Source: RNAcentral
CCUACGGGGGGCAGCAGUGGGGAAUAUUGGGCAAUGGAGGCAACUCUUACCCAGCAAUGCCGCGUGAAUGAAGAAGGUCUCCGGAUUGUAAAGUUCUUUUAUAGGGGAAUAAAGGUAUCCACGUGUGGAUAUUUGCAUGUACCCUAUGAAUAAGCAUCGGCUAACUCCGUGCCAGCAGCCGCGGUAAUACGGAGGAUCCGAGCGUUAUCCGGAUUUAUUGGGUUUAAAGGGUGCGUAGGCGGUUUGAUAAGUUAGAGGUGAAAUGUCGGGGCUCAACCCCGAAACUGCCUCUAAUACUGUUGGACUAGAGAAUAGUUGCGGUAGGCGGAAUGUAUGGUGUAGCGGUGAAAUGCUUAGAGAUCAUACAGAACACCGAUUGCGAAGGCAGCUUACCAAACUAUAUCUGACGUUGAGGCACGAAAGCGUGGGUAGCAAACAGGAUUAGAUACCCUUGUAGUC